CUGCUACAUAUUUCAGCAGCAAACAUACUAAAAUUGGAAUAAUACAUAGAAGAUUAACAGAGGCAGCCUAAGAUGAUGCACACAUUUACAGAGUAUUUUCUAUUUUCU
RNAcentral lists this small nuclear RNA (108 nucleotides) under Tupaia belangeri (northern tree shrew). The record is from RNAcentral. Lineage: Eukaryota; Metazoa; Chordata; Mammalia; Scandentia; Tupaiidae.